This is an unclassified non-coding RNA of Callithrix jacchus (white-tufted-ear marmoset), 244 nucleotides long. It matches the Rfam family "Metazoan signal recognition particle RNA". From Rfam's summary of the family: The signal recognition particle (SRP) is a universally conserved ribonucleoprotein. It is involved in the co-translational targeting of proteins to membranes. NCBI's taxonomy places the organism in Eukaryota, Metazoa, Chordata, Mammalia, Primates, Cebidae. The record is from Ensembl.
GCUGGGUGUGGUGGUGCGUGCCUGUAGUAUCAGCUAUUCAGGAGGCUGAGGCUGGAGAAUCUCUUGAGCCCAGGAGUUCUAGGCUGUAGUGUGCUAUGCCAAUCGGGUGUCCACACUAAGUUCAACAUCAAUAUGGUGACCUCCCAGGAGCGGGGGAAAACUCCCGUGCUGAUCAGUAGUGGGAUCGCACCUGUGAAUAGCCACUGCACUCCAGCCUGGGCAACAUAGUGAGACCCCGUCUUUU